Molecule: ribosomal RNA, 468 nt
Filed under: uncultured bacterium
Lineage: Bacteria
Description: partial 16S ribosomal RNA
Rfam family: Bacterial small subunit ribosomal RNA
Source: RNAcentral
GACGAACGCUGGCGGCGUGCUUAACACAUGCAAGUCGAACGGAAAGGCCUUGCUUUUGUGGGGUGCUCGAGUGGCGAACGGGUGAGUAACACGUGAGUAACCUGCCCUUGACUUUGGGAUAACUUCAGGAAACUGGGGCUAAUACCGGAUAGGAGCUCCUGCUGCAUGGUGGGGGUUGGAAAGUUUCGGCGGUUGGGGAUGGACUCGCGGCUUAUCAGCUUGUUGGUGGGGUAGUGGCUUACCAAGGCUUUGACGGGUAGCCGGCCUGAGAGGGUGACCGGCCACAUUGGGACUGAGAUACGGCCCAGACUCCUACGGGAGGCAGCAGUGGGGAAUAUUGCACAAUGGGCGGAAGCCUGAUGCAGCAACGCCGCGUGCGGGAUGACGGCCUUCGGGUUGUAAACCGCUUUCGCCUGUGACGAAGCGUGAGUGACGGUAAUGGGUAAAGAAGCACCGGCUAACUACGCG